AAGGAUGUCGGUUGGUAGACACGCUCCUUACUGCUGAUUGGCUAUAAGUGUGUUUUGGUAGUCGGCUCAUCUCCUUUUCCAAAGCGUUUUUCAAACAUUGUGCACUCCGCCUUUAACAUUAAUUUAUGUUUACUUUGUGUUUUGCAGCAGAACAGAAAGUCACACCUGGAUACUAUAAUGAUGACAUCACAGAUGGACCAACAGCAGAUCGUCGGACAGUGAACGUCCCAGAAGAUUAUGAUGAUGUCAUCAUUAUUAAACAGAACACUCAUGCUAUAAAUGAGUAUGAAGAUAUGGGAAAGAAGACUAAUAAAGAGGGAGGGUCUGUUUGACUCGAUGAUCACAGCCACCGCCCAUUUUCAUCAAAAUUAUAUCAAGUGUCUGACAUUUAAUUGAUUUGAUAUUGCUACUAAAUCUGCAAUGCCUGCUUUCUGACAUAAAUAUUUUUUUUCCAAGAAUUAUAAGAAAAAACCUAUAGGGGCGCUUUCCCGGAGAGGGAUUAGACCAGUCCUAGACUAAAAUAAAUGUAAGAGCUGUCCAAACUGAAAACAGCUUGCACUGACAUAUCUUAAAAUACAUCAGUGCACUUUGUUUUGUCUCAAAAUGCACACAAGUAAUGUUUUAGCAAGACAUGUUUGUAAUAUUUCCUAAAUAAACUCAGGCCUAGUCCUGGCUUAAGCUAAUCCUUGUCCAGGAAACCACCCCUUAAUGUUUUAAACCUUUAGAAUAUCAGCUUAA
Non-coding RNA from Misgurnus anguillicaudatus (oriental weatherfish), 738 nucleotides. Lineage: Eukaryota; Metazoa; Chordata; Actinopteri; Cypriniformes; Cobitidae. The record is from RefSeq and is a predicted model, not a curated record.